This 437-nucleotide ribosomal RNA is filed under the name uncultured bacterium. RNAcentral's name for it is "partial 16S ribosomal RNA". It matches the Rfam family "Bacterial small subunit ribosomal RNA", at positions 29 to 507 of the family's 1533-position model. The record is from RNAcentral.
AGCGAACGCUGGCGGCAGGCUUAACACAUGCAAGUCGAGCGGGCAUCCUUGUGGUGUCAGCGGCAGACGGGUGAGUAACGCGUGGGAACGUGCCCUUCGGUUCGGAAUAACUCAGGGAAACUUGAGCUAAUACCGGAUACGUGCGAGAGCAGAAAGGUUUAUCUGCCGAAGGAUCGGCCCGCGUCUGAUUAGCUAGUUGGUGAGGUUAUGGCUCACCAAGGCGACGAUCAGUAGCUGGUCUGAGAGGAUGAUCAGCCACACUGGGACUGAGACACGGCCCAGACUCCUGCGGGAGGCAGCAGUGGGGAAUAUUGGACAGUGGGGGCAACCCUGAGCCAGCCAGGCCGCGUGAGUGAUGACGGCCUUAGGGUUGUAAAGCUCUUUUCUCCGGGACGAUAAUGACGGUACCGGAGGAAUAAGCCCCGGCUAACUUCGUG